GCCGCUGAGGGGAGCGACCGGCGGCAGCGUGGCGCUGGCGGUGUGGCUCCUCAGGACCGGCGGUUCGCAGCGUAGCGGCGCUUCGCCUCUCCCAAGGCGCCUUCCUCCGCGCGUGUGGUCGCUGUACCGAGUUGGAGAAGGGGUGCGAGGCGCUCCCGUGUCCGCCUGGCUCUAUCCCUGCCCCCGGCCCGGGGGUUUCCCCGCAGCGGUGGCCGUGCGGCGCUGGAGGGAUGCCCUUGAGAUGGGGCGGUAGCAGCCGCGUGUCCUGCGGCCUCCGCUGCGCUGGCCGUGCCGCGGCCGCAGGUGUCGCCCGCCGGGUGGUGACAUCCGCCAUAGUGCUUAAAGGCUGGGGGUUUAUAGGCUGUAAGUGUCCCGUUGGGCGUACAGAGACCAACAGCCGUGAUCCCGUAGCCCGUAUUCCUGUCUCCUGCAGUCCCAGCCAGGAUACAGAGGGACCGAGCUGCUAUGCUACCUGCAGGAAGGAGCUGAGUUAGAGUGACUUGUUGCAGAUGACUGCAGCAGGGAUGAUUGUAGAGAGAAGCUCUACUUGCCGUUUUACCAACAGAUUCAGAAAGAAUGAGACACCUUCUGACUGUCAUCGUUGCCAUCAGCAAGGAGCAGAACUCACAACACUGGACGUGGUCCUUUUGCUUCUGGCACGUAGAAGAUGGCAAUGGCACAGCAAUGGGAAACAAUGACACAUUUUUGUUUGCAUAUAACCAGCUUUUCUUUUUUUCCAGGGAAUAUGCUAGAUUUAUAGGCAAUCAGUUACAAGAACCUGGUCUUGUAGUGGAAAUAAUAUACCUUACAUAAACCAGAUCUCACACAUGCACUCCAAGAAGUUAAUGAUGGCUUUGUAUUCUUGAACAGCCCAAUUUAGCACUUCCCUCGUGCACUGUAAUCAUGCUUCAGUCUUCUAUCAAAAGAAAUCUAGCACUAAAAUCUGAUAAGGCAAGAAUUACUAACUGCAUUUUUCUCUAUGUGUUUGCUUGUUUGAGAGAUGUCACUUAAAAUAGUCCUCAUUCAGAAUUGCAGUUUAAAUUUCUUUUAACCCACUAAAAUUUUAAAUGCUGAUUCAUUGUGCUUCUGGGUAAAGGGCUUGACCUAGUUAAAAUGAGACAGCUUUGAAACAGUUCACUGAAUUUCUAAUAAUUCGUAUUACAUGGAGUGAUUAAAUAUUUGUCCUGGAUUGCUGCUUGAAUGACAUAAAAUGCAUGGAACAAACUGCCAUAUACAAUAAUUAAUGAUAGUUAUGUAGAAAUUGCUUAAUUAAAAUUUCCCUUUCUUGCAUCGA
Molecule: long non-coding RNA, 1294 nt
Filed under: Strigops habroptila (Kakapo)
Lineage: Eukaryota; Metazoa; Chordata; Aves; Psittaciformes; Psittacidae
Description: lncRNA (ENSSHBG00005001808.1)
Source: RNAcentral